This 92-nucleotide transfer RNA is filed under the name Streptomyces gougerotii. Its description in RNAcentral is "tRNA-Val". Lineage: Bacteria; Bacillati; Actinomycetota; Actinomycetes; Kitasatosporales; Streptomycetaceae. RNAcentral also lists the same sequence under 1 other name. The record is from RNAcentral.
AGGACCGCCAGCGGGAAGGCGAUCAGCACGCCGAUCACGACGGCGGCCGCGGUGAUCCCGAUGUGCUGGAGGGUCGCGUCCACCAGGUCCUG